AUGCGGUUUGGUGGGAGACGGAGAAAUGGGCGAAACGGGAAGUGUUGUGAAGUGAGAAGGAGGUUGGUAGUUCGAAAAAGAUAUGGAAGGUCCCGAUUAAGUGUAAUAACAAUCAUACCAUGUUUCCUCAACAGUAGUGUGAAUCGGUCAACCUCUCCAUGUGCCAUUUGGAUUUCGUGCAGAGUCGAUAGGAGAGCAACGAGGGUAGCACUAGUAGACACAGAUUCACUCAAUGAUAAUCAACUCAAAAAUACAACAAAGGAAUAA
This is a non-coding RNA of Vicia faba (fava bean), 267 nucleotides long. NCBI's taxonomy places the organism in Eukaryota, Viridiplantae, Streptophyta, Magnoliopsida, Fabales, Fabaceae. The record is from the annotation of a GenBank genome assembly.